This 1477-nucleotide ribosomal RNA is filed under the name Lactiplantibacillus plantarum. RNAcentral describes it as "bacterial SSU rRNA". It matches the Rfam family "Bacterial small subunit ribosomal RNA". The record is from RNAcentral. Lineage: Bacteria; Bacillati; Bacillota; Bacilli; Lactobacillales; Lactobacillaceae.
GCUGGCGGCGUGCCUAAUACAUGCAAGUCGAACGAACUCUGGUAUUGAUUGGUGCUUGCAUCAUGAUUUACAUUUGAGUGAGUGGCGAACUGGUGAGUAACACGUGGGAAACCUGCCCAGAAGCGGGGGAUAACACCUGGAAACAGAUGCUAAUACCGCAUAACAACUUGGACCGCAUGGUCCGAGUUUGAAAGAUGGCUUCGGCUAUCACUUUUGGAUGGUCCCGCGGCGUAUUAGCUAGAUGGUGGGGUAACGGCUCACCAUGGCAAUGAUACGUAGCCGACCUGAGAGGGUAAUCGGCCACAUUGGGACUGAGACACGGCCCAAACUCCUACGGGAGGCAGCAGUAGGGAAUCUUCCACAAUGGACGAAAGUCUGAUGGAGCAACGCCGCGUGAGUGAAGAAGGGUUUCGGCUCGUAAAACUCUGUUGUUAAAGAAGAACAUAUCUGAGAGUAACUGUUCAGGUAUUGACGGUAUUUAACCAGAAAGCCACGGCUAACUACGUGCCAGCAGCCGCGGUAAUACGUAGGUGGCAAGCGUUGUCCGGAUUUAUUGGGCGUAAAGCGAGCGCAGGCGGUUUUUUAAGUCUGAUGUGAAAGCCUUCGGCUCAACCGAAGAAGUGCAUCGGAAACUGGGAAACUUGAGUGCAGAAGAGGACAGUGGAACUCCAUGUGUAGCGGUGAAAUGCGUAGAUAUAUGGAAGAACACCAGUGGCGAAGGCGGCUGUCUGGUCUGUAACUGACGCUGAGGCUCGAAAGUAUGGGUAGCAAACAGGAUUAGAUACCCUGGUAGUCCAUACCGUAAACGAUGAAUGCUAAGUGUUGGAGGGUUUCCGCCCUUCAGUGCUGCAGCUAACGCAUUAAGCAUUCCGCCUGGGGAGUACGGCCGCAAGGCUGAAACUCAAAGGAAUUGACGGGGGCCCGCACAAGCGGUGGAGCAUGUGGUUUAAUUCGAAGCUACGCGAAGAACCUUACCAGGUCUUGACAUACUAUGCAAAUCUAAGAGAUUAGACGUUCCCUUCGGGGACAUGGAUACAGGUGGUGCAUGGUUGUCGUCAGCUCGUGUCGUGAGAUGUUGGGUUAAGUCCCGCAACGAGCGCAACCCUUAUUAUCAGUUGCCAGCAUUAAGUUGGGCACUCUGGUGAGACUGCCGGUGACAAACCGGAGGAAGGUGGGGAUGACGUCAAAUCAUCAUGCCCCUUAUGACCUGGGCUACACACGUGCUACAAUGGAUGGUACAACGAGUUGCGAACUCGCGAGAGUAAGCUAAUCUCUUAAAGCCAUUCUCAGUUCGGAUUGUAGGCUGCAACUCGCCUACAUGAAGUCGGAAUCGCUAGUAAUCGCGGAUCAGCAUGCCGCGGUGAAUACGUUCCCGGGCCUUGUACACACCGCCCGUCACACCAUGAGAGUUUGUAACACCCAAAGUCGGUGGGGUAACCUUUUAGGAACCAGCCGCCUAAGGUGGGACAGAUGAUUA